This 3928-nucleotide ribosomal RNA is filed under the name Triticum aestivum (bread wheat). RNAcentral's name for it is "partial small subunit ribosomal RNA". Lineage: Eukaryota; Viridiplantae; Streptophyta; Magnoliopsida; Poales; Poaceae. The record is from RNAcentral.
AUUUCCGGCUUUCCUCCCCGAUUCACCGGAUGCAGCGAUUUCAGUGACUUGAGCGCCGGCGGCGGAGCACGUGGAGCUGACGGCGACGUGGGAGGCGGGGAGGUCCUUCACACGUGCACAUCCGUAAGUGUGCCACCGGCUACUUUCUGCCCGCGCGUUAUCCAGAGACAGCGGCGUCGCGGCGGCGAUGCCCACGCUCGGCGGGGGUUCUGCGGGAUCUGGACACGGCGUCAUCAAGGGGAAGAAAGGGAACGCGAUUGCUGACAGUAAUGACCCUGCUAGAGCGUUUGCAAACAAGUUUAGAGUCACAUAUGGAAAGGACGAGUCUGAGGCGAAUUCUGAAGAUUGGAAUAGCAUUCUCUCCAUAGAAAAGAUGCUGAGCCUUCCUCCUGAUCGUGAACCGAAGGAGUAUUUCACGGAAUUGGACCAAAAUCUGUAUAAAGUAGUCAAAACCAUUGAAGGAAGGAAAUUGGAACCCAAGAGAGAAAGAUUGGUGAAGGACCUACGACUUUUGAUAGAGCAGUUCCUUGAGAUGAUGGAAACUGGCGUAUUUCUCAAUGAGGACAGACAGAGAGCAGCUUUGCAAGCAAAAGACUGGCUCGAGAAGAAGCUGAAGGUGCAGAGCUCGGUUCCAUUAUAUGAAGAUCCUGUCCUAAAAUGUUCUGAUUUAGACAGGUGGAUUAAAAAUCUAUCAUCUAGGAAGAACUCUUGAGGCUUGCAUUGGAAGAUUUUGAGAAUGUGCGAAUUGAGGAAUUAUCUUUAAACCCAAGCCAAGAAGGUGCUCUGAGCAAUUUUAUCAACUACUUCUGUGAUCGGUUGUGUGACCAUAAACAGCGAUUUACAUAUAAACAUGAAGAGCAUACUUGCCGCCUGUUAGAAUUUCAGAGACCUAAUAAACAGCCACCGAGAUGGAUGUUGAUUAAAUUGAUAAAAGAUGCUGCCCGAGCCGGUAUUUACAUGAGAAGUGAUAAUCUAUACCUUUCUGCUUUUAGUAACAAAGAUGAUGAAAUCUUUGAGCUUGUGACGCAUCCUUCUUACCGAAUAAUCAAAGAUUCUAUUCCAUUCGGAUGUAGCACGGAGUACCCCAGCAUGAUGAACUAUGAAAGAACUAAAUAUGUUCCAGCAGAUCAAACUGAGAAGAGGUUGCUGGAGAUAAUUCUUAACAUGGAUAAAUUUGAACAUGGCGUUGAAGUGCUGUCAAAUUAUGACCAUGCCAUUAUGUCAGAUCCGCUUGUGAGCCAGGAUGUGAGACAACAAAAGAUUCAAGAAGUCCAAGAGGCUUUAGCUCGAAAGGCAGUGGUUCUAGGGGAAGUUUCCCGCAUUGUAGAGUUAUUCUUAUCUGUGAUUCAGAAAUGGAAGGAAGGCCGUUCAUUCCUUACAAAACUGUUGUUUGAGUAUAUGAUGCAUUGGAAAGUUAUGUCAGAUAAGGUUCGCAAUGGUAGUGUUGAUGAUCAGUUUAGCAAAGAAAUUGAGUCUGUAAUCUUGCUGAAGUUCAGAUCUGAUGCAAUUAAGCUUCUCAAUGUGGUGUGCAACUCCAAGGGGCCUGGACUUGAUAAGAAGAGACCCACGGAACCUGGUGAUGAUGACAAAGGAUCAGAGGAUCCUGGUGAUGAUGACAAAAGAUCAGAGGAUCCUGGUGACGAUGACAAAGGAUCAGAGGAUCCUUGUGACAAUGACAAAGGAUCAGAGGUUCCUGGGUCAAGCUAUGGACUGACUGGUCACGAUAAGGAUAAGAAAGGAAACAGACCUGGAUCUGAACCAUUUGAUAGUUGCGAUGUCAACCUGGAGGGUGGCCGUGAGGGUGGAGAACAGAAGAACUAUAAUGAUAGCAUGCCAGGGAUAAGCUCUAGACCACUUGAUAGUUGUGAUGUCAACCUGGAGGGUGCCCGCGAGGGUGGAAAACAGAAGGAGAAUGAUAGCAUGCCAGGGACAAGUGACAUGAGCAAAAUCGCAAUAGCUUUCAUGCUAGGAUUGGCUGUUAACAAGAACUUGCUCGAGCCUUUGAUCAGGAAAAGAAGUUUAGAACCUUUCGUCAUCACAAAAAAAGGGGUGAACUUCUCAAUCAUCAGCCGAAGGAGUGUGGAACCUUUGCCAUUGCUACCUGGUUCUCCAGGAUCUGAACAUGCAACUGGUUUGGGUCAAGUGCUGCCAUUAAUACCAGAUUCUUCAAUGUCUUUACAUGGACAUGGUCUGGAUCCGCUGCUGCUGCCAGGGACAAUUCCACGUGGCCCUGCUGUCAGCUCGUUUGGACGGUCUUUACAUGGACAUGGUUUGGAUCUGAUUGUGCCGAGGAUGCUGCCAUGGAUAAUUCCACCUGUCCUUGCUGUCAGCUCUUCUGGACGUGGAUUGGAGAUGGUUCUAGAGCCGAGCCGCUAUAAAACUCCUGAUUUUUCCUUGAUUUCUUUAGACGAACCAGAUCUGGGUGAGGCGCAAGAACGGAUCAGUGCUAGUGGGAGUUCGAGUGCUAGUGGGAGUUCGACCGAGGAAGAUAUGGUUAGCUUCUUCCAGGAAUUUAUCUCCUCGGAAUCAUAUCCUCUUUCUACAGGCCAGACACUUCUUGAAAUUUUCUGUAUCCACACAAACUUGAGCUUGAUAAAGACUAUUGUUCUGUAUGAUGAUCGAGGUGGUAAUCUUAUCUAUGAGUCCAAGAAAGGAGAAAAGGAGCAGUUUAUCAAAAGACGCUCUAAUUGGUUGUCCGAGCAUACAGGAAAAAAACAAUCCGCUUUCAUUGAUUGCCUUGUUCUUGAAGGCCCAAGCCGUCCUAUGACUGCUCAUGCAGACUUGUGGAUCGUUCAAAUUGAUGUGCCAGCUGAAUCAUCUUUUAUUAAGCUUGAAGAUGAAGAUCCUGAAGUACCCGGGAGUGUAUUUGAGGCCACAUUACUGUUGGAUGAUGAUUACAUUGACAAAACCAAUAGCAGUUUGAUUUCUUUGAGAGGUGGCUUUCUGAAUAUUACAUUGGUGACUUUCAGCAAUGCAGUGUCAUCAUCAGUCAGAUUGGCAUUUCAUGUUUCUCCUAUUAGCAGUUUUGGUGAUUGCCCUAAAGUGGAGGGUGACCUUGCAUUAUAUGUUGAAAAUUAUCCAGUUGGUUUCAGUAUCUUGAAGAAUCAAGUCGAGGAUGAUGCUGUACAUUUGGUGAGACUGGGUCCUUCUGUUUUCGAACUUCCCUUGACAAGGCAUGUUCUUGCACUGCCCAUUGGUUCUACUGUACAUGUCUUAGGGACUUUGAAACUACCAAGUUUGGAAGUGUGUGUGGAUCAGCAUUUGCGGCUCGACAAGAACGUUAUUCGGGCUGAAUGGCAUAUGGAUUCUAGCGUGAGUGCUGCUAUAUGGAUUGAGUCAAGUUCAUGUUUCUAGACUCUCCACCGCACAACAGUUCGUGCUCUUGGUCCACUUCCUACAUCUUGCUGCAUGUACAUGCUUGCUCUCGAAUUGGAGGAGUGCCACAGAGAAUAACACACUUUUUGCUUGCCCGAUUGCUAAUUGACAUGUUGGAUUCAUAUGAACCACGGCUUGGAUCUGUUGUGCUUCUGGAAUUCCUGAAUCAGUUUGAAGAGGCAGAGAAGAUUGUAAUUUCUUUAGUGUAUUUUGGUGGUGUGUAGAAACAGUAGCUACUUUGACUAGCUCGGUCUAGUUUGGCAUGUAAGGUGUUAAAAUCCUUGCCUACUCAUUACUAGUGCCGAAGUGCGUGACGGUGAGAACACCCAUCUGAACUUUUUAUUGUUGGUUUGGUUAAAGGUACGAAAUGAAGAGUGGAGUGAACCGGUUGUAAUUUUUGUUCGGGAAUUGACGGCCUGCAUGGCAUGCCAUGCCAUGGUAAAGGAAUGGAAAAAGAAAAAGAUAAGACACUAGAAAAAGAAGUACUAAUAGUGGGAAUCUGUAGCUAGUUUAGUGUCAUUUUUGUUUAUUUGGCAAUCAAGUGAUCAGCGAC